RNAcentral lists this non-coding RNA (25 nucleotides) under Mus musculus (house mouse). Lineage: Eukaryota; Metazoa; Chordata; Mammalia; Rodentia; Muridae. The record is from RNAcentral.
AUCUGUAUCUACAGGCUGUGGGGUU